This 1047-nucleotide ribosomal RNA is filed under the name Triticum aestivum (bread wheat). RNAcentral's name for it is "partial small subunit ribosomal RNA". The record is from RNAcentral. Lineage: Eukaryota; Viridiplantae; Streptophyta; Magnoliopsida; Poales; Poaceae.
GGCGUCUCCCUUGCGCUGCUCGCCGCCGUCGUCCUCUCCGCCGUCGCUGCUGCCCCGCAGCUAGUCGGAGCAGCCAAGGCAGAGCAUUCCCUAGGAAUCAUCCAGAAAGACAUCAUUCAGACGGUCAACAAGCAUCCCAAUGCCGGGUGGACGGCUGGACACAACCCCUACUUCGCAAACUACACUAUUGAGCAAUUCAAGCAUAUCCUGGGAGUGAAGCCAACGCCUCCGGGUUUGCUCGCUGGUGUUCCGAUCAAAACCCAUCCAGAAUCAGUGGGUCUCCCCAAGGAGUUUGACGCUAGAACUCAAUGGUCCAGUUGCAGCACAAUUGGGAACAUACUUGAUCAAGGUCACUGUGGUGCCUGUUGGGCCUUUGCUGCCGUGGAAGCUCUCCAGGAUCGUUUCUGUAUUCAUCUCAACAUGAGCGUCACACUUUCGGUCAAUGACCUACUGGCUUGCUGUGGUUUUCUAUGUGGUAGCGGUUGUAAUGGAGGAUAUCCUAUCAGCGCAUGGCGCUACUUCCGUCGCAGUGGCGUCGUCACUGAGGAGUGCGAUCCAUACUUCGAUCAGACUGGUUGCCAGCAUCCUGGAUGCGAGCCAGCUUAUCCUACACCAAAAUGUCAAAGGAAAUGCAAGGUGGAGAACCAAGUGUGGAAGGAAAAUAAGCAUUUCAGUGUUAACGCGUACAGAGUACAUUCCAAUCCCCAUGAUAUCAUGGCAGAGGUCUACAAAAAUGGCCCUGUAGAAGUUGCUUUCACCGUUUAUGAGGACUUCGCACACUACAAGUCAGGAGUGUACAAGCACAUCACAGGUGGCGUGAUGGGAGGUCACGCCGUCAAGUUGAUCGGUUGGGGAACCAGUGAUGCUGGCGAGGAUUACUGGCUUCUUGCAAAUCAGUGGAACAGAGGCUGGGGUGAUGACGGAUACUUCAAGAUCAUAAGGGGCAAGAAUGAAUGUGGUAUCGAAGGAGAUGUUACUGCCGGUAUGCCCUCGACAAAGAACACGGCCAGAAACAAUGAUGUCGCCUUUGGAACAGCCGUACUUUGA